Long non-coding RNA from Panicum virgatum (switchgrass), 286 nucleotides. RefSeq lists it as uncharacterized. Lineage: Eukaryota; Viridiplantae; Streptophyta; Magnoliopsida; Poales; Poaceae. The transcript is spliced from 3 exons. The record is from RefSeq and is a predicted model, not a curated record.
UACGAUUUAUACCAUCAAGAUGCCCUUCACAAGUCACUCGUCAGUGUAUGGUGCAUGUCAAAAAUUCAAAUUUGCCGAAAGAAGAACUUUCAUAACGUCGGGUUCUUCGACCCCGAUAUUAUACACGAGAAAUCGCUAGCGCUAAAUCCUGGAGACAUAGUCAAUGUUAUAUACAGGGGGUUGCGUAAAAAUAGCAUGUGUCCCUUCAUUCUCUUGCCAUACAACCAUCAGUCUUGGUGUACGACUCGUUAAGGCAAGAUAAAUCAAAGUACCAAGAUAUCAUCGA